AUUGAACGCUGGCGGCAGGCCUAACACAUGCAAGUCGAACGGUAACAGGAAGAAGCUUGCUUCUUUGCUGGCGAGUGGCGGACGGGUGAGUAAUGUCUGGGAAACUGCCUGAUGGAGGGGGAUAACUACUGGAAACGGUAGCUAAUACCGCAUAACGUCGCAAGACCAAAGAGGGGGACCUUCGGGCCUCUUGCCAUCGGAUGUGCCCAGAUGGGAUUAGCUAGUAGGUGGGGUAACGGCUCACCUAGGCGACGAUCCCUAGCUGGUCUGAGAGGAUGACCAGCCACACUGGAACUGAGACACGGUCCAGACUCCUACGGGAGGCAGCAGUGGGGAAUAUUGCACAAUGGGCGCAAGCCUGAUGCAGCCAUGCCGCGUGUAUGAAGAAGGCCUUCGGGUUGUAAAGUACUUUCAGCGGGGAGGAAGGGAGUAAAGUUAAUACCUUUGCUCAUUGACGUUACCCGCAGAAGAAGCACCGGCUAACUCCGUG
This 490-nucleotide ribosomal RNA is filed under the name uncultured bacterium. Its description in RNAcentral is "partial 16S ribosomal RNA". It matches the Rfam family "Bacterial small subunit ribosomal RNA", at positions 30 to 507 of the family's 1533-position model. The record is from RNAcentral.